UUGAAAACUAGAAAUGUGACACACCAGGUCUUCAAAAGAGUAGACCACAGCAGAUGCUCUGCCAUGCUCCUCCCCUUGCUUGCAUUCCACAAAGACCUCCGGU
Molecule: long non-coding RNA, 103 nt
Organism: Thalassophryne amazonica
Lineage: Eukaryota; Metazoa; Chordata; Actinopteri; Batrachoidiformes; Batrachoididae
Exons: 3
Source: RefSeq, a predicted model, not a curated record